GCUGCGGGUGCCCGCGGAUGUCCCAGCGCCGGCUGUGCUCGUAGGGAGGUGCCCGCGGGGAUGUCCUGGGGGCCACCGAGGAUUCGUGCUCAGGGGGGUGACCUCAAACCCGGUGUGUGCUCCUAUGGGCACCUGGGGCAGUGUCCCAGUACCCAGUGUGGGUAUCCAGUGCAGUGUCCCAGUACCCACCCUGUGCUCAUACAGGUGCCCAGUGCAGUGUCCCAGUACCCACCCUGUGCUCAUACAGGUGCCCCAGUACCCAGUGCUCACUGUGAGUAUCCAGUGCAGUGUCCCAGUACCCACCGUGCCCAUACAGCUAUCCAGUGCAGUAUCCUGAUACCCAGUAUGUGCUGUGGGUGCCCAGUGCAGUGUCCCAGUACCCACCCUGUGCUCAUACAGGUGCCCAGUGCAGUGUCCCAGUACCCAGUGCUCACUGUGAGUAUCCAGUGCAGUGUCCCAGUACCCACGGUGCCCAUACAGCUAUCCAGUGCAG
Long non-coding RNA from Serinus canaria (Common canary), 493 nucleotides. RefSeq lists it as uncharacterized. The transcript has 2 exons. The record is from RefSeq and is a predicted model, not a curated record. NCBI's taxonomy places the organism in Eukaryota, Metazoa, Chordata, Aves, Passeriformes, Fringillidae.